UUAAUAAAUAUACAAUCAGACAUAAAACAGAGGUCAAUUGAUGUCAAAAAGCACCACCUGGUAAAGAGACAUUUACCCAACUUUUAGUGAUUAUGUAUGCAAAUAUUCAAGGUUGUAUGUAUUAUUUUGUUACUGCAUGGGCACAAUUCCAUUCAAAAUUUAAAAAAACAUUCAAAUGUUAUCUUGCUUAAUCAUUGUAUCCUGGAAUCAAUUAAAAAUGACAUUUCUAACCUUGAAUAAAUACCAGAGUUAUGUCUGUUCUGAGGAAACAGACUGAUAUGAAGAUUCCUUAGCUGUUUUUUUUAGUGAUUGUCAGGGUGUAGGCAAACCAUAUGUUUUUGUGUCAGUAAGGUUGUGGGAAAUGUCCAUAUUUCAGCAUUCCAGCCACCUUUGAAGUGGUAAUGUGGAGCUUCAAAAUGACGUCACGCCCAAACUGACCACGUUCCAGCUGUGGGUUGGAAAACUGGUGGGUUUUGCUCAUUUCCACUGACCAGGCUGGCUAUAAUUAUCAUUGGUUUAUGACACAGAGGCAAAAUGUUGAUUGAUUAAAUUUUGACUGUAGCAUAUGUGACUGAUUUAAUGAGACACAAACUAACUUUUUUUUUUAAAUUAUCUGUAAUUUACAAUGAAUAAAGUUUACAAGUUAGGUUUCAGGAUCAGUAUUUUUGAUACAGUCAGCUCUCUGAGGAUUGAUUCAACCAUUUUGCUCCAGUUUAUUUCUCCAAGAAGCUCAGAAAUUCAGAUUUCAAAGCUCCAACUUCACUAGUACUGCUGCAUUUCAGAAAUAUAUCUUAAAAUAAUCAUUAGAAUGAAUACGAAGAGCACUUCAGUCCUCUUUUUCUCUAGUUUGCGCAAAAGUUUAGGUUUGUGUGUGUGUGUUUGAUAGUAAAUAGGGAUGGGUGAGGGGCUGGGGGUGGCACUGUAAAUCAUAGGCUGGACUAAAAAAAGAACCCUAUGGUUCCUUUGUCUUUUGAUUCCCUGUGGGCAGUAGCCUCUUAAGAAUUGAACUGCAGCCACCUGUGUGUCUGCAAAGCCUCUUUUACACAGGACACAGUCCUUUUCUUUGUCUUAACAACAUAAAAUAUAUAUUUUUGCAAGAUACAAGGUCUUGCAAAUGUCACGUCUACUCUUAAGCCACUUUAUUUAGCUUUACAGUGUAUGCAGAAAACACUUCUUAUCUACACUCCUUUCAGUCAGAUAAAAAUAGUUAAGCAACUGCAGCAGAAGUCAGCGGCUCCUUCGCACUAGAAAUUCAAUAAACAUUUUAGGCAGCAACUCUUUGCUGUGCAGUGACCAAACCUGUAUUACUUGCUUGCUCUUCACAAAACCCAGACCGGAUCAAUAAGUUUCUUUCUCUCUCUCAUACUCAGCACUGUACUCGCACAGUUUAACACACACACACACACACACACACUCACACACGCCCACAAAAAAAUGUGGUCCCAGAAUCUUGUGACCGCUGAUGCAUUUCGAAGCAAAAAAAGGUAAGGGAGAAAAGAAAGACUUCAAACUUCAAGGCAUACAAAGCCCAACAUCCAUAUUGAUUAAACAAAUUUGCCACAAAUCAUUUUACAAAUGCCCAGUGGGGGGCUAUAGAGGCCAGUGGAAAUACCCCAUUCAUGCUCUGUCCUCCCCCGCAGGGCUGAAGCCUCGACUCUUGGCUCGUUUAAGCGUGCUGACAACCUCUGAUCCCCUGGCCAUCUGCAGGGUGGGCCGGUCUGCACUCAGGGCCCUUUGUGCUUGAGACUUCAGAUUUAAAGGGAAAACUGCAGGACAGAGCAAAGGAAAAUCUUCCUCAUUUACUCUUGGUUCCUCACCAUUUGCAAGGCACACAAGUCACAGGGAGAAACUGGAAAACGGAAAUUGUUCUGAGAGAUUUUGUUUGGGUUGUGUCACUCUCUGCAGCCCACAGCAGCUGCCUGGUGUGUUCAUGCAGUGACUCACACAAGUUUGGGUGAACUUCAGCUCCGCCUUCUCCCCCUCACCACGCUGCUCUUUAUGAAUGAAAGUGGGUGGAGGCAGCUAUGCGGAUCAGUAUUUCUGAAUGCGGGUGUGUGUGUGUGUGUGUUGGAUUGGGUGUGUGUGUGUGUGUGUGUGUGUGUGUGUGUGUGUUGGUGGGACGAGCUCUCAGGAUUAUGGUCUGGAAGCAUGUUAGAUAAUAGAUCAAAGAGAUACGCCGGAGAGAGCCCUUCAUGCGUUUUCUACCAAACACUCAUCGUUAUGAGGAGUGGCAAAUUAUUUUAUUCCUCAAAAUGAUGCGAAACCCUUGAAAAAAGAAAUCAAAUAGAAAAAAAUUAUUGACCAAAGUAACUACUUGUUUCAUCUUUUGCAGCUAAGUGCUGCACAAGAUUAUUCCACUUAUUUUACGUUUCACCUGUAUUGUUUUGUAUGCUGGACAUAACAUAAAUCCGCACAUUUGUCAGAGUUUGUGAUGUCAAAAAAAAAAAAAUCUGACAUUUAGUGAAUAAUUUCAGAACUUUUUACAUCACUAAUAUUACCUGCAACCUGUGCAAAAUUUCAAAAAUAUAUUUAAAUCAAUGGUAAGAGGAGUCAGUAUGUCGUAUAAGUUCCACUGACGCUGUUAAGGUUUAUCCUUUCAGAACCUGUUGUACUUAAUUUUAUUUGGCUUUUUGUUUUUGUUAUAGCAAAUAAACCAAAAUUAAAAACAUCUAGAUAUCUAGGUUGGUUAUCUAGAUCACAUUUAGAAAAAUCAACUGAGUUUCCAAGAUGGACAAGUCAAAUUUUUACCUCAAGAAAUAACAUACAGUAACUGCCUUGUAGUGGGUGUCACCCAUGUUUGAGCAAAUAUUAGUUUUCAAAUGUCUCAGAUGACUCAGUGGCCUUUCUAGCAAAGAAAAAAAACUAUAUCUAAGAAGAAUGCUCACAUUUUUAGCCUAUAGGAUUGGCCUUUUAAGCAUUCAUCACUGAAUUCCCAAAAACUGUAGGAUUUUUAAAAAUAGAUUUCAGUCAGAAGAAAGGAGCAAAUCUACUUUCAAGGCAUUAAAUGUCAUCAAGUGGUUUAACACAGAGAUAUAUUGAUGGAGCAGCAGAAAUUUCACAACAAUCUGCUGUACUCGUGAAAAACGGAAGAUUGUUCUUACAAUAACAAACCUCCCAAACCUCGAUAAAAUUGGCAAAGUUACAUUUGAAGAGUCCCAAUGGUGGGAAAACAGUGUUACGAUAUAAUGAAAGCAAGGCUGACCUUUCAGACAAUUUUUCCCACGAGGUAAAUUUGGUGUAAAAACAUCACCAAAAUGACCACCAUACCCACAGUGAAGCAAGGUGGUGGCUCCGUCAUGCCUUAGAGCUGCUUUUCUUCAGCUGCAAUUGAGGAUUUAAGUGGAAGGAAUCAUGAAGAGUUCCACAUAUCAGUAAAUGCCGAAACCAAACCAAACCUUUGGGCUUCUGCUAGAACUUUGAAGAUGAUGAGGAAGGAACUCCAUCUUUCACUACAACACAAAGUAUACAUCCAGAUCAUUAGAACACUGGUUUCUGUGCACACUAUAUGGCCUCGCAACCUGGCAGACUUCGAGUGCUCUUGCAGAGAGGAAUGGGCAAAUAUUGCCAAUUCAAAAUGAACAAUGCUAGUAAGAGUCAUUACCCAAAAUGAAAAAGUGUUGUGUAAAUUCAUCUUGUUCUCAGUUCUUCACAGAACUAAAACCUGGGCUUUUUAGUUCCAGGUGUUUUGAUUUAUUUAGCAAUUUUCACACCUUUCUGCAGAUAAUGUCCUACAUACUAACAAAUGUGCAUCACAUGAGACAAAAGCACAGGUGAUGCAUCACCUAAUUUAAACCUAACAUGCAGUUUUAAUGAACUAUUUUCACUGUUUGUAGUUUCAUCAGUAUCGUUGUUUGAAACUUUACAUGCAAUGCAGAACGGUUGCCUCUAACCUCCACAGGCUUUUACCAACAUGCACUUCAAGGAAUCCUCAAAAACCCUUCAUAAUUAUUCCACAGAAAAGAUAAAAGGACUCCCAAUUAAAUCAGAAACUACUAAAGGGGCACAAUCAUGUUUCCAUUUGUCAAAGGCAAACUAACUCUGAUGUGAACCCUUGGUGUUGACAGACAUCUCCAUCAGGAAGUAACUUUGCUUGAGUUUGUGCUCAUGCUGAGCUUGUAAAUGCAGCAGCGUGCUUCAGUGGAUCCAUUAGUGCCAGAAUGCGAGAGACGAAGAAAUCAAUUCACAGGAGCCUCCUAUUCAGGUGAAGCAUCUUCUGCUUACGAAUACAGAGGGCUGACAUCUGUGUGUAAAAACGGCCAGAAUAAUAGAUGGCAACAAGCAAAACACGCACUUUAUUGAAAAAUCUAUUGCUGGAGCAGCUUGGCUUUUAGAAUCAAAGACCUUGAUGGUUGAACUAAUGUUAUUUACAAUUGACAUCAGUUGAUUCAGACAGACGACUGGGAAGUAUUCAAAAAUGCACAUAGAGUAUGUAAGUAAACAACGCAUUAUAUCAAAGUUAACCUCAACCUUUACUCUUGACACUCUGCUGCCCCCUUAUGGACAAACUAAAAAAUGCAUGAGCCCGACAUUUUUGAUUUCAGGUUCCAGUCAUUGCUCCUUAGCACUUUACAGGAUAUUACUCAGCUAAAACGAAUCUCAAAUAAAUAAAAGCAAAAAUAAAUUCAAAUGAAUACAAAUUUAUUGAAAUUGGCAUUCAUCAGUGAGCAGAAAAACACUGUGUAAACAAAUGCUGUAGUUUGUCAUCACUCCUGUCAGUGUAUGUCAUUCACUUUGCCUGUAAACGCAACUUUCAACUGUAAUUUAUCUGCCUAUAGGAAAUGUAACACUUUACCUGCUAGUUACACACUACAACAACACAAAAUCAUAACCAGUAUUUUUAGUUUCUAGUGCAAAUAUAUUAGAACAAUAUUGAAAUAAGACAAAUCUACGUCAUAUGUAACUUUUCCAAAACAUGUAGGAGCUUGUUUUAGGUCAAUAAAUUGUUUAAUAUUUAUCAAAACUACUAGCUCCACUGUAAGAUAUUUCUCACUUAUAAUAUGGAAAGAAUAUCUUGUGAUAAGUAAAGAAAUCUGCCAGUGGAACUAAUAGUUUUAAUCAAUAGUCAAGAGUUAUUGACCUGAAAGGUUCUAUAUCUUGCAGAAAAGUUGCUUGUAAGUUAGAACACUUGAAAUAGGAGAAAACUAAAAUAUUAGCA
Long non-coding RNA from Xiphophorus couchianus (Monterrey platyfish), 5155 nucleotides. RefSeq lists it as uncharacterized. The transcript is spliced from 2 exons. NCBI's taxonomy places the organism in Eukaryota, Metazoa, Chordata, Actinopteri, Cyprinodontiformes, Poeciliidae. The record is from RefSeq and is a predicted model, not a curated record.